RNAcentral lists this ribosomal RNA (429 nucleotides) under Strongylura scapularis (shoulderspot needlefish). RNAcentral's name for it is "partial 12S ribosomal RNA". It matches the Rfam family "Bacterial small subunit ribosomal RNA", at positions 774 to 1405 of the family's 1533-position model. Lineage: Eukaryota; Metazoa; Chordata; Actinopteri; Beloniformes; Belonidae. The record is from RNAcentral.
GGGAUUAGAUACCCCACUAUGCACAGCCCUAAAAUUUGAUAGAACUAUACAUCACCUAUCCGCCAGGAUACUACGAGCUUCAGCUUAAAAUCCAAAGGACCUGGCGGUGCUUUAGACCCACCUAGAGGAGCCUGUUCUAGAACCGAUAAUCCUCGUUAAACCUCACCCUCCCUUGUUUUUUUACCGCCUAUAUACCGCCGUCAUCAGCCUACCCUGUGAAGGACCCAUAGUGGGCAAGAAUAGUACAGCUAAGAAUGUCAGGUCGAGGUGUAGUGCAUGAGAGGGGAAGAAAUGGGCUACAUUCCCUAAUCAGGGUAUACGAAAAAUGUAAUGAAAAAUACAUUAGAAGGUGGAUUUAGAAGUAAGUAGAAAAUAGAGUGUUCUACUGAACCUGGCUCUGGAGCAUGUACACACCGCCCGUCACCCUAA